RNAcentral lists this ribosomal RNA (119 nucleotides) under Pteropus alecto (black flying fox). The record is from RNAcentral. Lineage: Eukaryota; Metazoa; Chordata; Mammalia; Chiroptera; Pteropodidae.
GUCUAUGGCCACGCCUCCCUGAACGUGCCUGAUCCCAUCCGAUCUCGGAAGCUAAGCAGGGUCGGGCCUGGUUAGUAUUUGGAUGGGAGACCACCUGGGAAUACCAAGUGCCGUAGGGA